Molecule: small RNA, 735 nt
Filed under: Pan troglodytes (chimpanzee)
Lineage: Eukaryota; Metazoa; Chordata; Mammalia; Primates; Hominidae
Description: processed transcript
Source: RNAcentral
GCCCCACAGCUCAAGGGCGCCUCGAGGGAAACGCGCUGAAGCUGGACUUGCUGACCUCCGACCGGGCCCUGGACACCACCGCUCCCCGUGGUCCCUGCAUCGGUCCCGGUGCCGGAGAGAUCCUGGAGCGCGGCCAGCGCGGCGUCGGGGACGUGCUGUUGCAACUCGAGGGGAUCUCCCUAGGUCCUGGGGCCUCUCUCAAGAGAGCCUGGCCCUGCCUCUGGGACAGAGUCUGCCCACUUCCUGCGGGCGCACUCCCGCUGCGGCCCUGGCCUCCCACCACCCCAUGUAUCUAGUCCCCAGCCAACCCCACCAGGUCCCGAAGCUAAGGAGCCAGGCCUGGGGGUGGACUUCAUUCGUCACAAUGCACGAGCUGCCAAGAGAGCCCCCCGGAGGCAUUCCUGCUCACUGCAGGUCCUGGCACAAGUGCUAGAGCAGCAGCGUCAGGCCCAGGAGCACUACAAUGCCACGCAGAAGGGCCAUGUGCCACAUUACUUGUUGGAGCGCAGGGACCUGUGGCGGCGGGAGGCCGAGGCCCGCAAGCAGAGCCAGCCGGACCCUGCCAUGCCCCCAGGCCACACGCGCAUGCCUGAGAACCAGCGGCUGGAAACACUGACCAAGCUGCUCCAGAGCCAGAGCCAGCUGCUGCGUGAGCUGGUACUGCUGCCUGCUGGGGCAGACUCACUGAGAGCCCAGAGCCACCGUGCUGAGCUGGACCGGAAGCUGGUGCAGGUA